CAAAUCUAUUCCAGGAAGACUCGUCAUUUUCUGGUCUCACCCAAACUACACAUUGCAUUGAGUCCAUCCAACUCAGCAGACAGUCACAACCACAACAUGAACAAAAACCAGUACAACGUAACGCCAGAGAAGAAACAAACAGCAUUAUGAUAAAGUUUUUCACCAGUCGACUGAUGAUGAAGAUGGAGAUGCAGCUGGAUCCACCACCAAAAAGUUCUCUUCUUCGUCCGGCUCUGAUCUUCUGACGAUGGAGUUCGUUCACGGCCGUUCCAUGAAACACGCGUUGCCCUAAUUCUGCAACCGAGGCCGAUGAACAAGUCGACAUGAAAAUGGGUUUUGGGCUUUGGUGAACUUCGGCCCAAUUUUCUCCCCCUCCUUUUUCGC
RNAcentral lists this long non-coding RNA (384 nucleotides) under Eucalyptus grandis. RNAcentral's name for it is "long non-coding RNA (EGRA_LNC003860)". The record is from RNAcentral. Lineage: Eukaryota; Viridiplantae; Streptophyta; Magnoliopsida; Myrtales; Myrtaceae.